UACGUAGGGUGCGAGCGUUGUCCGGAUUUAUUGGGCGUAAAGAGCUCGUAGGCGGCUUGUUGCGUCGACUGUGAAAACCUGCGGCUCAACCCUGGGCCUGCAUUCGAUACGGGCAGACUAGAGUUCGGUAGGGGAGACUGGAAUUCCUGGUGUAGCGGUGAAAUGCGCAGAUAUCAGGAGGAACACCGGUGGCGAAGGCGGGUCUCUGGGGCCGAAACUGACGCUGAGGAGCGAAAGCGUGGGGAGCAAACAGG
RNAcentral lists this ribosomal RNA (254 nucleotides) under uncultured bacterium. RNAcentral describes it as "partial 16S ribosomal RNA". It matches the Rfam family "Bacterial small subunit ribosomal RNA", at positions 524 to 776 of the family's 1533-position model. The record is from RNAcentral.